Molecule: long non-coding RNA, 3766 nt
Organism: Columba livia (rock pigeon)
Lineage: Eukaryota; Metazoa; Chordata; Aves; Columbiformes; Columbidae
Exons: 3
Source: RefSeq, a predicted model, not a curated record
GGCCCGGCGCCCAAUCGGGAGGCUCCUUGGGACGGACGGGGGGGACGGGGAGAACUUGGCAGGAGCGGGGAGAGGGGAGAGGGGAGAGCGGGGAGGGGGGAUGGACCGCCCCGCCCCGCGGGAAGGUGGCGGCAGCCGCGCACCUGCAUGCGGGGGGGGGGUGUGGGGGGGUGGUGUGCGGAUGGACGGACGGACGGACACGGGGCGAGAGCGCCGGCAGAUGCGGCCCGACGGGGCGGCCUCCCCCUCCCCGCCCCGGGUCCGCUGCGCACGGGCGAGGGGCGGACAAAAGCCGCCCCGAGUAGGGAAGGAAAAGAAACUUUAGGAAAGUCAUCCACGCGGGGGCAGGGGAUACAGCGCGGUGGCCCACGCGGGAAAGUUUUCCACUCGGGAAAGUUUUCCGCGCGGGAAGUCUCCCGCAGAGGAGUGCCGUGGCGCGGAGUGCGCUGCCCCGGGUGCGCGUCUUUCACGUGUUAAGCAUGGGGAAGCCGGGGAAGCCAAAUCAUGCUCGCGGGCGCUGCCCCCACGCGGGUCACAAACUUUUAAGAGAAACAGGUCCGUGGCCGCCCACCUCCCGGCCCGGUGCGCAGGGGCAGCGGCUCUGACACGCGUGGUGGGGCUGUAAGUGGGAGCCGCGCGGAACACGUUUCACGUGCGAGGCAGAAAAUAAACACGAAAAGGAGCAUCAGGUUGCGGAAUGGAACUAACGGCGGCGCCGAAACCCGGCUGCUCGCACCCCCUCAGCAGCGCUCCCAAACUUUCUGACAACUUAAACGCAUUCCAAGCUCAGCACAGCCCAUUCUCGGCCAGCUCCGGUGGGAAAGCUAGGAGAAAUUUCUCUUUUUUUUGGGGGAAAAAAAAGCAAACACCAAAACAUUAUCUUUGCAGCAAGUCCGGGCUGCAAUCUGCACCAAAGCCUGCCGGGCGCGCAAUGUCCCGCCGUGAGCGCGGGCUUCCGCGGCGCGGGUCAAGGAGGGCCCAGUACCCCCCGCCCCGGUUGCCGCCGAGGGUUGCCCCGUUGCUGCGGGCAGCCUUCCCGUAGGAAAACUGCCUUAGGCUUGCAGGCGGCAGGAGCAUAUAUGAAGGAAAGGGAAUAACGUCCUGCGGAGGGACAGACGGCAGUGCAGGGCGCUCGGCGGCAGGACAGCGGGAUACAUGUAGAGGUGAAGCCGAAUUCUGCAAACGCUAAUAAAUAAAUAAACAGCUGCCUCUGACACUGAGUUUGGCACCACCGGGGCUCAACUGAACUUCAGCCACUGUUGGUUUACCCAGACGAGAAAUUGAGGCACUGGGAGUGAAGCGAUGUCCCCAAGGUCACACAAUAGAGCAGAGGCAGCCAGCCUGGCCCCAGCCAUGGGUACCAUGUGCGCAGGCUUCCACCUACCAUCCGCCUUCCUGCCUCAUUUUGUACCUGCUAGCGGGUUACCUUCCACCAUCCCUGUGUCUUGCAGCUUUCUCAAAUCUAACCACACCGUCCCUGCGACCUGCCACACCAGUAAGUCCAGCUGGAAUUAAAUGAAUGCUUUCCAUUCACCCUCUAUCUUGGGCACCGUGUGCUCCAGACCCCUCUCUACCCUGAAGGACAGGCAGCCUCUUAAGGAAUGCAAGUUGAUGCUUCACAGCUCAGCAGUGAAAGUAAUUCCCCACCCACCACCCAAAUUUUAGAGGUGGAGGAGAAACUCUUCUUCCUCCGGAAUGUAAUUCCUCAGAAGGGGGAGGAGAAGGAGAAGGAGAAGGAGAAGGAGAAGGAGAAGGAGAAGGAGAAGGAGAAGGAGAAGGAGAAGGAGAAGGAGAAGGAGAAAGAAGGAGCAUGCCAGCAGCUCGUAUUCAGGAUUUGUAGUGAGCAAAGUCGUCCCUUGUUUCUUCUCUAGGGCUUGGUGGCUUGGGCAGUGGUGGGGCAGCCUCUUGCUGCUGUGGGCGGGUGGCAUGGCUGUAUCUGUCGCUUGCUGCCCUGACCAAGUGUGGUCCUGGUGAGUGAACUGCCACAGAUUCCAGUCUGUCUUUAAAUUCCUGUAAAAAGUUCCUAGUAACUAAUAGGUCAUGAGGUAGUCACCAGGUCCUUUUCUUGGUCAUUAAUACAUUGCAAGGUAGUCACACUGUUUUAAUUUCUGAGUUAUGGGUGUUUUGGAUCCCAACAAAAGUAGUCUAUGUCCACAAAGUUUGCAUUCAAAGCCUGGGCACACUCUGGUCUGUGGGUUCUCCUAAUGUUUGGUGGGUGUCACAAACUUCAGGUCAAAAUACCACAUGGGGUUUGUCAGGUCUGUGUUCAGCUGCAGGGUUUGUCCCAUCAGAAAUAAAUCCUCCUCCAAAUUUUGGUGCCUCUGCAGAGAAAAGGUUUGCUGCAAACUAACAGCUUUCUGUGCUUAUAUUUCUUUCUUUAAGGGGAAGAAUAAAACCAGAAUGCAAGAAACUUAGGAAAACUUUUGCAGUGUGCCCAUGACCAUGCAUGAUUCCUCUGUCCCCUUGGAGUCUGACAACAAAAUUGAACGUGACGGGUGCCUGGAAGAAUCUUUCUGUGGAGACAGAGGUGGCAUUGGUGUUUCUUUGGUAGCAGACAAUUUGCCAGCUCCCUUUCAUCCCUCUCUGAACUAGCAACGCCUGUAAGUAUGUCAUCCCACUCUUCCUCUUAAUUCUCCAUUCAGAAAUCGCAAGUGAAUGUCGGAUGUCAGCCAGAUCCAGCAGAGCCAUCCCAGUUCACAUCAGCUGGUGCUCUGGCCCUGUGUUUGUGCACGCUGCUGGAUCGACGCUGCCGGGACGGGAAUUCCCUUGGUACAUGAGCUCCCAGCAAACCGUGGACUCUGGAAGUGGUGAUCAUUUGUCACAUCAGCCCUGCUGAGGAGGAAUCCGUCUCUCACAACUCAGAAAAGCCUUUGCUCUCUGUUGGCAUCGAAUUCUCCCGGUGUCACACGCAGUUGCACCUCCAGGAGGUGUAAUUGCCGAGUCUGUUUAGAAGUCAAAAGCAAAACUCUGGCAAAUGCGGGUUCUGAUUCACACUGUAUUACACGAAAGGCUGUGAGGUGGAAGCUGAUUUCAGCUUCAUCUCUGAUCCGUUCCUCUGAUAGGGGUUUAUGCUCAGUAUGGCUUCGGUUAAAUCAGUCAGUGCUUACCUCGCUGAACAGUUUUCCAUCUCUUUUGACCAAAGCAUGCCUUACCUUCAAUGUGGGCUGAAACGAUGCUGGACAAGAAUUUAAAAACAAAAUAUGGGAAGCUCUUCAGGCCAUUCUUUUUUAGGGAUGCACACUGUUGUCUUGUACAAAAACUAAUCCCGACACAGCUUUCUUUCUAUUAAUCAUGUCAGAAUAGCUGCCAGAGAGGGACAGCUCUUAGCCAGCACCACCCUACCAGCAUUCAAAGAUCUGAACUGUUUUAGCAACCUCCAUGUGGAGGGGUUAAAAGCACAUUAAAAAUACUUUGAGAUGCCCUGUCCUAGUACUUGCAUUAAAAGUCUUAAGAAGUUUAAAAUCAUAAAGCAAGAGAAAAGGAAGCGUAUUUGAUAGUUUAAAACUGUACCCUACCCUGCUGAAUAAUCAAAGCUGGUAUUGAACAGGACAUGUAGGUUAAUUUUAUAGACUUAUGGUCUUUUGGUUGGUUGGUGUUUCUAAGAAAGGAGGACAUAUUUCUGUAGGGGGAUUAUAACCUGGGGAAAACACUUUCGAUUACUUAGUGUGUGUGCUGAAUUAAUUUAUUUUUAUAUUAUAGAGCAACAAUUUUAAGAACCCAUCUUUUCUAAUAAAAUGUCAUUCCCAUUAUGUGAAGUGUGCAUGUG